ACGGGAGAGUAACACGUGGGAACGUACCCUUCAGUUCGGAACAACCCAGGGAAACUUGGGCUAAUACCGAAUACGUCCGUAAGGAGAAAGAUUUAUCGCUGAAGGAUCGGCCCGCGUCUGAUUAGCUUGUUGGUGAGGUAACGGCUCACCAAGGCGACGAUCAGUAGCUGGUCUGAGAGGAUGAUCAGCCUCACUGGGACUGAGACACGGCCCAGACUCCUACGGGAGGCAGCAGUGGGGAAUAUUGGACAAUGGGCGCAAGCCUGAUCCAGCCAUGCCGCGUGGGUGAUGAAGGCCCUAGGGUUGUAAAGCCCUUUCGGCGGGGAAGAUAAUGACGGUACCCGCAGAAGAAGCCCCGGCUAACUUCGUGCCAGCAGCCGCGG
This 383-nucleotide ribosomal RNA is filed under the name uncultured bacterium. Its description in RNAcentral is "bacterial SSU rRNA". It matches the Rfam family "Bacterial small subunit ribosomal RNA", at positions 102 to 520 of the family's 1533-position model. The record is from RNAcentral.